CCUUCAUGAAGUCGGAAUUGCUAGUAAUGGCAGGUCAGCAUACUGCCGUGAAUACGUUCCCGGGCCUUGUACACACCGCCCGUCACACCAUGAGAGUUGGAGAUACCCGAAGCCUAUGAGCUAACUUUUAGAGGCAGUAGUCGAAGGUAGAAUCAAUGAUUGGGGUGAAGUCGUAACAAGGUACC
This 185-nucleotide ribosomal RNA is filed under the name uncultured bacterium. Its description in RNAcentral is "partial 16S ribosomal RNA". It matches the Rfam family "Bacterial small subunit ribosomal RNA", at positions 1315 to 1500 of the family's 1533-position model. The record is from RNAcentral.